Oryctolagus cuniculus (rabbit) is the source of this 281-nucleotide unclassified non-coding RNA. It matches the Rfam family "Metazoan signal recognition particle RNA". From Rfam's summary of the family: The signal recognition particle (SRP) is a universally conserved ribonucleoprotein. It is involved in the co-translational targeting of proteins to membranes. The eukaryotic SRP consists of a 300-nucleotide 7S RNA and six proteins: SRPs 72, 68, 54, 19, 14, and 9. The record is from Ensembl. NCBI's taxonomy places the organism in Eukaryota, Metazoa, Chordata, Mammalia, Lagomorpha, Leporidae.
GCUGUUGAAGUGGUGUGCACCUGUAGUCCCAGCUACUCAGGAGGCCAAAGCUGGAGGAUCUCUUGAGUCCAAGAGUUCUGGGCUGUGCUGAUCAGAUGUUGCUGCACUAAGUUUGGCAUCAAUAUGGUGACCUCCCAGGAGUGGGGGACCACCAGGUUGCCUAAGGAGGGAGGAACCAGUCCAGGGCGGAAACAGAUCAGGUCAAGAAUGAGAUCAAUUAGCAAUGAAUUAAAGCAUUUGCAGCAACACUCUGUUGAACUGAAUCAUAUCAUAGGUUAUUU